AUUGAACGCUGGCGGCAGGCCUAACACAUGCAAGUCGAACGAGUGGCGGACGGGUGAGUAAUUUCUGGGAAACUGCCUGAUGGAUGGGGAUACCUCCUGGAACCGGUAGCUAAUCCCGCAUACCAUCGGAUGUGCCCAGAUGGGAUUAGCUAGUAGGUGGGGUAAAGGCUCACCGAGGCGACGAUCCCUAGCUGGUCUGAGAGGAGGACCAGCCACACUGGAACUGAGACACGGUCCAGACUCCUACGGGAGGCAGCAGUGGGGAAUAUUGCACAAUGGGCGCAAGCCUGAUGCAGCCAGGCCGCGUGUAUGAAGAAGGACUUCGGGUUGUAAAGUACUUUCAGCGGGGAGGCGGUACCCGAAGAAGAAGCAACGGCUAACUCCGUGCCAGCAGCCGCGGUAAUAC
This 406-nucleotide ribosomal RNA is filed under the name uncultured bacterium. Its description in RNAcentral is "partial 16S ribosomal RNA". It matches the Rfam family "Bacterial small subunit ribosomal RNA", at positions 30 to 526 of the family's 1533-position model. The record is from RNAcentral.